AAAAUUUUUAAUAUUUAUUUUUUUUAAUUUGAAAUCGUUUCCCCAAAAUUUUACCCCUUAACUCUAAACUUUAAAUCUAUAUUAGUUAACCUCUUAUUUUUACUCUCAAAUAGUUUUUUUUUUAAAGUUUUAUCACAAAAAUAACUUUCGAAAAACAAAAUAACCAAAAUAACCUUUUUGAUUUUGAAAAUUUUAAUUUUAAUUUUUUAUUUUUUUAAAUUUGAAAUCGUAUACUCAAAUCUCUAUCUUUUAACUCUAAACCUUAAGUCUAAAUUAGUUAAUCCUAUAUUUUUACUUUUUAGUAAAAUUUAUUUUAGUUAUUUUCUUCACUGAAAACUAUUUUUAUGACAAAUACUUAAAAAGAUCUAUCGUAGAGAAUUUAUCAUCAAAAAUUA
RNAcentral lists this long non-coding RNA (395 nucleotides) under Brassica napus (rape). Its description in RNAcentral is "long non-coding RNA (BNAP_LNC027190)". The record is from RNAcentral. Lineage: Eukaryota; Viridiplantae; Streptophyta; Magnoliopsida; Brassicales; Brassicaceae.